Molecule: ribosomal RNA, 469 nt
Filed under: uncultured organism
Description: partial 16S ribosomal RNA
Rfam family: Bacterial small subunit ribosomal RNA
Source: RNAcentral
ACUCCUGCGGGAGGCAGCAGUGAGGAAUAUUGGACAAUGGGUGGAAGCCUGAUCCAGCCAUCCCGCGUGCAGGAAGACGGCCCUAUGGGUUGUAAACUGCUUUUAUCUGGGGAUAAACCUACUUACGUGUAAGUAGCUGAAGGUACCAGAAGAAUAAGCACCGGCUAACUCCGUGCCAGCAGCCGCGGUAAUACGGAGGGUGCAAGCGUUAUCCGGAUUUAUUGGGUUUAAAGGGUCCGUAGGCGGACUGAUAAGUCAGUGGUGAAAUCCGACAGCUUAACCGUCGAACUGCCAUUGAUACUGUUAGUCUUGAGUAAGGUUGAAGUGGCUGGAAUAAGUAGUGUAGCGGUGAAAUGCAUAGAUAUUACUUAGAACACCAAUUGCGAAGGCAGGUCACUAAGUCUUAACUGACGCUGAUGGACGAAAGCGUGGGGAGCGAACAGGAUUAGAAACCCCGGUAGUCCCAUGA